AUUGAACGCUGGCGGCAUGCCUUACACAUGCAAGUCGAACGGUAACAGGUCUUCGGAUGCUGACGAGUGGCGAACGGGUGAGUAAUACAUCGGAACGUGCCCGAUCGUGGGGGAUAACGAAGCGAAAGCUUUGCUAAUACCGCAUAAGAUCUACGGAUGAAAGCAGGGGACCGCAAGGCCUUGCGCGAACGGAGCGGCCGAUGGCAGAUUAGGUAGUUGGUGGGAUAAAAGCUUACCAAGCCGACGAUCUGUAGCUGGUCUGAGAGGACGACCAGCCACACUGGGACUGGGACACGGCCCAGACUCCUACGGGAGUCAGCAGUGGGGAAUUUUGGACAAUGGGCGAAAGCCUGAUCCAGCCAUGCCGCGUGCAGGAUGAAGGCCUUCGGGUUGUAAACUGCUUUUGUACGGAACGAAAAGACUCUUUCUAAUAAAGAGGGUCCAUGACGGUACCGUAAGAAUAAGCACCGGCUAACUACGUGCCAGCAGCCGCCGUAA
Molecule: ribosomal RNA, 498 nt
Filed under: uncultured bacterium
Lineage: Bacteria
Description: partial 16S ribosomal RNA
Rfam family: Bacterial small subunit ribosomal RNA
Source: RNAcentral